Long non-coding RNA from Ceratina calcarata, 1498 nucleotides. RefSeq lists it as uncharacterized. The record is from RefSeq and is a predicted model, not a curated record. Lineage: Eukaryota; Metazoa; Arthropoda; Insecta; Hymenoptera; Apidae. The transcript is spliced from 2 exons.
AUUAACUUUUGACACACGAGACUUCUCAGUCCCCGACGGUGCCUCAAUUCGCUCACGCGUGCUGGCAAGUGCAGCGCGAUUACCGAAUUCAAUAUUAAUGCGAUGAGGCAAGAUUGGUCUACGUGAGAAAGUGCAACUUCGGGAAUUUUAACCUGGUAACAAAGGUCCGGUGCGAAAGGAGGGAAAAUAAACGAGCAAACAAUUCAAACUCUGGACGAUUGGACCAUUCUUUAACAAGGAUGCGUUUCCUAUUGGCGAUCGCAGGACUAUGCAUCUGGAUUUGGUGCGCUUUUACGUGUCCUACGAACGGUAUGAGCUUGUACGUGGAUAGCGACUUCAUCUACCUUCCCGACCAGGUGGAAUAUGUGAAGCUCGCCACCAAAUGUCCUGGGAACACAAUUCUGUGGCCGGGUACUCGUCGAUGCUACAGAGAAGGCGAGCAAGGUCCCUGCAACAUCGGUCGCGUUCUAGUUUUCGAUCGACGGCUGUUGAAACCGUACUGUAUGGACGUGGAUGGCAAGUAAAUGUAAAUGAAGGUAUUGUCGUUACCGGUGCACCGAGCUUUCGCCAAAGGUGGCAGCAAGCAUCCGGAAACCAUCCACCAAAUGUGAAUGAUCGAUUUGAUGAUUGAUAAAUUCAAAAUAUAACUUGCCCUUUAUAACAUAAGGCAGUCAUUUCCUUAAUCUUCUUAAUUUUACUAAUUUACAUGUACAUCAAUUAAAUAUUAUAAAUCAGAUAAAUUCAACAUAAGUCUGUCCGAUGAUCAUAGACUUACGCCUUUUAUAUUUUCAUAUGUUUUCUAUGAUUAUUUAAUCAAAUUCUUCACUUAUAUGUAAAGUAAGUCAAUCUGUGAUAUGAUUAAGUAUGUACAUGGUUAUUAUAUUAUAUUGUGUAAUAGGUGUAAUAGAAAUUUAAUAUUGAACGGGUUAUUUGCAUGGAUGGAAUAUUUAUAAUGUAUCUAUAAUAUAAACUCUAACAUCAAUGUCAUCUGUUUUAUACUUAAUACGAUUCUGUUGUUUCAUUACGUAUUUAUGUUAUGAGUCGACUGGUUCAUUUAAUUAAUGUAGGAACAGAAUAAUUUAAUUACCACAACAGAAUGACAGAAUUGUGAUCGUAAAAUAAUAAUGUACUUUUGUAAGUCGAAGUCAGUAUUGUAUUACUUUACUCUAAAAAUAAAGGUAUGUACACGUACAUUGGUAUUACUUUCAACACAAGACAAAAUUUCCAAUCAUGUAAUUUGUAUUAUUUAAAUUAUUAAUAUUGGUGUUUUAUUAUAUAAAUUGAUAUUUUUCAUGUUCAGGACUAAAUGAACUAAUAGGGCUUUGAAAUAGCAGUAAAUUGACAAUUUCAAUCGUGGAAGUACGUUUCUGCGAAACCAAAUUACGGUCUCCAAAUUAAAUGUACAUAUUUCGUGUAAUCGUUCCCUUCUAUACGAUCUGAAAAAAAAAGAGUAAAAUAGUAUGGAGGGAUGUUCAAUAAAAAACGAUGCAGAAUGGUA